RNAcentral lists this ribosomal RNA (925 nucleotides) under Scytinostroma quintasianum. RNAcentral describes it as "eukaryotic LSU rRNA". It matches the Rfam family "Eukaryotic large subunit ribosomal RNA", at positions 1 to 914 of the family's 3401-position model. The record is from RNAcentral. Lineage: Eukaryota; Fungi; Basidiomycota; Agaricomycetes; Russulales; Lachnocladiaceae.
UCGUGCACGUUCUCGCGUGCGCAAACUUUGAACUCGACCUCAAAUCAGGUGGGACUACCCGCUGAACUUAAGCAUAUCAAUAAGCGGAGGAAAAGAAACUAACAAGGAUUCCCCUAGUAACUGCGAGUGAAGCGGGAAAAGCUCAAAUUUAAAAUCUGGCGGUCUCCUGGCCGUCCGAGUUGUAAUUUAGAGAAGCGUUUUCCGCGUCGGACCGUGUACAAGUCUCCUGGAACGGAGCGUCGUAGAGGGUGAGAAUCCCGUCUUUGACACGGACAACCGGGGCUAUGUGAUACGCUCUCGAAGAGUCGAGUUGUUUGGGAAUGCAGCUCAAAAUGGGUGGUGAACUCCAUCUAAAGCUAAAUAUUGGCGAGAGACCGAUAGCGAACAAGUACCGUGAGGGAAAGAUGAAAAGCACUUUGGAAAGAGAGUGAAACAGUACGUGAAAUUGCUGAAAGGGAAACGCUUGAAGUCAGUCGCGUUCGCCGGGACUCAGCCCUCGUGGCGUACUUUCCGGUGGACGGGUCAGCAUCACUUUCGGGCGUCGGACAAUGGCGGGGGAAAUGUGGCACCCUUCGGGGUGUGUUAUAGUCCUUCGUCGGAUACGGCGUUCGGGAGUGAGGACUGCCUUUGUUUGCAGGAUGCUGGCGUAAUGGCUUUAAACGACCCGUCUUGAAACACGGACCAAGGAGUCUAACAUGCCCGCGAGUGUUCGGGUGGCAAACCCGUGCGCGUAAUGAAAGUGAAAGGUUGGGAAGGCUGUCGUGGCCUGCACCGACGCCCGGACCUGAGAUUCAUCGACGGUUCUGCGGUAGAGCGUGUAUGUUGGGACCCGAAAGAUGGUGAACUAUGCCUGAUAGGGUGAAGCCAGAGGAAACUCUGGUGGAGGCUCGUAGCGAUCUGACGUGCAAAUCGAUCGUCGAGUUGG